This 301-nucleotide ribosomal RNA is filed under the name uncultured bacterium. Its description in RNAcentral is "partial 16S ribosomal RNA". It matches the Rfam family "Bacterial small subunit ribosomal RNA", at positions 509 to 808 of the family's 1533-position model. The record is from RNAcentral.
CAGCCGCCGCGGUAAUACGGAGGGUGCAAGCGUUAAUCGGAAUUACUGGGCGUAAAGCGCACGCAGGCGGUCUGACAAGUCAGAUGUGAAAUCCCCGGGCUUAACCUGGGAACUGCAUUUGAAACUGUCAGGCUGGAGUCUUGUAGAGGGGGGUGGAAUUCAGGUGUAGCGGUGAAAUGCGUAGAGAUCUGGAGGAAUACCGGUGGCGAAGGCGGCCCCCUGGACAAAGACUGACGCUCAGGUGCGAAAGCGUGGGGAGCAAACAGGAUUAGAUACCCCUGUAGUCCCUGUCUCUUAUACA